This is an RNA transcript of Capsicum annuum, 3640 nucleotides long. RefSeq lists it as uncharacterized. The record is from RefSeq and is a predicted model, not a curated record. The transcript is spliced from 4 exons. Lineage: Eukaryota; Viridiplantae; Streptophyta; Magnoliopsida; Solanales; Solanaceae.
UAAGUGUUUAUUGUCAUUAGGUCAAGCAUGAGUGAUUUUACUUUGAUUAUUCUAAGAUGGUACCAUGGUGGAGUGUUAGAUUUAACUAGUGGAGAACCGAUUUAUAAAGGUAGAAAAAUUACAGAAUUCUUAGAUGUUGAUGUUGACAAGAUGUCAUAUUUUGAAUUGAGAGACUAUAUAAGAAAAUUAAGAUAUAACACAACAUGCACCUUUAGUAUUAAACCACCUAAUAGUGGCAUUUUGGUAGAUAUGGAUAGUGAUAUGUAUAUUUUUGAAAUAAUGUGUUCCUUGAAAAAUGGAGAUGAAGUGGAUCAAGCAUUUAGUGAAUGAACCAAUUGAUGUGGACCCCCCGUAUUCUUAGAAAAUGCAAGUGUUGGGAAUAUGAAGGAAUUUGGUGCAUCUUUUGAUAAUAGGCCUAACUUUAUGGUAGGUGAGGACCGUAUAAAUAUGGAGGACCCUUUUACUUCUUUUUCUAAUUCACCUCCUUGCACUACCACACCUCAUUUCAUAAUUGCAGAUAGUGCUACUACAUAUAGUGCUUCAGCACCUACUGUUGCACCUAGUGUUGCUACAUCUACUGUUGCAGCUAGUGUUGCUGCACCUUCUGCUGCUCAACCUAGUGCUACUGUAGGUAGUGUUGCUUCACCUAGUGCUGCUGCACCUAGUGCUAAUGCAGUUGCUGAUAUAGAUGUUGUUCCUGCUGGAAAUGAUUUUUCAAAAGAAGAAGUAGAGGGUUCUGAUUACUCUACUGAGGAUAGUGUUGAUUCAGAAGAAGAAUUAGUUAGAGAUGAUGAUGAUGAAGAGUAUGGUAGUGAUGUAAUGAGGAAUUUAGGGAGUUGAGAGUUGAAAAAAGAAAGUUUCAAAGGAAGAAAAGAAAUGAGAGAGUACCAGCAGACAAUACAGAAGUACCAGUAGGUAAAAUAGGACCAGAUCUAGGGGUUUGAUGAUACUGAAAUAGGUAAAUUCAGUCAUGAAGGCAGGUUGGGAGGUGAUGAUCCUUACUUUACAAGUUCUAAUGAGGGGAGUUUUGAGUUAGAUGAAGAUGAUUAUCAAGGAAAAAAAGGACAACAGCCUACAAAAUCAUUCAUAACCCAACUGCAAAGGAAGUUGUUUGGAAGCUGGGAAUGGUAUUUAAAGAUCUAAAUGAAUUUAGAAGAGCUGUGACUAAAUAUGCAGUAAGAAAGAGGGUUCCUAUGGAGAAGUGAGUGAAUGAACCAAACAAGGUUAGAGUUAGAUGCAAGGAUUAUUGUCCAUUAGAUACAAGGAUUGCUGUCCAUGUCUUUUGUAUGCAGUUCUUGACAACACAACAAAAGAUUUCAUGAUAAAAACUUACAUUCCAAAACAUACUUGCAACAAGACAAUCAAAAAUUAUUUGUGCAAUGCAAAAUUUUUAGCUGAAACAUUCAGAGAAAGAAUAAUUGAGCAGCCAAAUAUAAGGGUAUUCAAUCUGCAAGAGUUGAUUAGAAAAAAAUUUAAAUUGUAUGUUGGUAAACUACUAUGAGAAGAGCAAGACCUAAAGUGUUGAAAGAUAUCAUGGGUGAUCAUGCUGUGGAAUUUGGAAGAAUUCUUGACUAUAACGAUGAGCUGCUGAGUACAAAUCUAGGGACAAGUUGUGUUGUUAAACUUGGUGAGGCUAAUGAAGAAGUUAAACCAAAAUUUCUGAGUUUCUACAUCUAUUUUGAUGUAUUGAAGAAAGCAUGGGUACAUUGUAGGAAGUGUAUAGGUUUAGAUGGUUAUUUUCUUAAAGGUGUUUGUAAAGGGCAAUGUUAGUUGCUGUUGGCAAAGAUGGAAAUAACCAGAUGUUGCCACUUGCUUGGGCAGUAGUUGAAAAGAAAAAUACAAAUACAUGGACUUUGUUUGUUAGGUGCAUAAGGGAUAACCUAGGACUUGGAGAAGGAGAAGGUCUCACCUUGAUUACAGAUAUGCAGAAGGUAUGUGUACUGUAUUAUGUGUAAUUUUUUUUCUAGUUUAGCCAAGUAAAUGUAAUAAUGUACUACUUUGACCUUGUUUUAUUGCAUGUAUUGUAUUGUAGGGACUGUUUACAAUAAUUGAGCAGGUGUUACCUCAAUCUGAGCAUAGAAGAUGUGCAAGGCACAUCUUAGCUAAUUGGGCUAAGGAAUAGCGAGGUCUUCAAUUGAGGAAAAACAUACAGAAGAUGAAGUUGCUUGGUCCUGAAAAAAUAAUGGAUGACUUAAUGUACUUCAACAUUAAUUACUGGUGCAAACUUUACUUCAACACUGAAGUGAAAUGUGAUUCUGUGGAUAACAACAUGUCUGAGUAUUUUAAUACAUGGAUCUUACCAGCUAGGCACAAGACCAUCAUUACCAUGCUUGAAGAAAUCAGAGUAAAGAUGAUGAAAAGAAUAGGCACUUUAAGGGAGUUUUCAAGUACUUGGAAGUCCAACUACUCUCCAAUGUGUUUGAAGGUUUUAGAGGAAAACAUCAAUAGGUCUAUGGAUUGUACCAUUUAGUUUAAUGGAGUUGCUAAUUUUGAAGAGAAAAAAGGACUUUGUCAACACAAAGUUGAUAUUGUCAAGAGGACUUACAGUUGUAGGGUGUGGUAGUUAACGGGCAUACCAUGUGCACAUGGUGUGGCUGCAAUAUUGUUCAAAGAGUACCCUCUGUAUGAACACAUAUUUGAGGACUUAUGACAAUGUUAUUGAACCACUUACAAACAUGGAAAUGUGGCCAGUUUCUUCAAACAUUGCUGUUGCACCACCUGAAAUCACAACCUUGCUUGGUAGGCAAGCUAAGAAUAGAAAGAAGGAAGUUGGGGAAACAAAGAAGUCAAGAAAAUUUUCUAGAACUGGACUAGAAAUGACAUGUAGUGUGUGUCAUGUUAGAGGCCACAACAAAAGAGGGUAUCCUCAUAGAGCACCAUCAACAGAAGCAGAACCAACUACACCAUCAGUAGCAACAGAUACUGGGUCAGGCAGGGGAAGAGACAAACCAAAGAAAACUCCAACAGAAGCAACUACUACUGUUUCUUAAGCAAAAAAUAAUGGUUCAGGCAGGGGAAGAGGCAGACCAAAGCUAAUUUUUUCACUUGAAUCCAUUAUGUUAUAACAGUAUUCUAAUUUGUUCUAUUCAUAACAUUCUUUUUAUAUUUAUAGAAAACAUCAUCAGAAGCCAUUACUGAACCUCCACAAGAAAAAAAAAAGAAGAGGGAGACCCAAAGAACAAUUUCAAUGGAACUGCAAAAAAAGGAAUGGGUAGUGGCAGAGAAAACACAGCUCCAUUCAAAAGGCAAAGAGUAGUAGGAAUGGGUGAGUUUCAAGAUGAAAAUGGCUUCAAAGUCCUAAAUACGGCAUGCUUAGCAGUAAGAUGUACUCCACUGGUCAAGUAAAGGUUGCAAGAUCAACUGAUGUAACUGGUGAUAUUGGUUAUACACCAAGUAGUACCAGUAAAUUAAAAUAGAAUGGAAAAUCAGCAAUCUCAACAAGAAAACUACAACAACUUAAAGAGAAUAGAAGAAAGAAGACAGUGGGAAGUAGUUCACACCAUCUAAGUAAACAUAACACUUCUUCAUAGUCCAAGAUGCCAUGAAAAUUGUAGUGAUGUUGAUGUAUUUUAAGCACUGUUUUAACUUAGCUUAGUUGACAUAAAAAUGAUUCCAUUCUGGUUUUGGAAAACAAUUUAAG